UGCAACUCGACUCCAUGAAGCUGGAUUCGCUAGUAAUCGCGCAUCAGCCAUGGCGCGGUGAAUACGUUCCCGGGCCUUGUACACACCGCCCGUCAAGCCAUGGGAGCCGGGGGUGCCUGAAGUACGUGACCGCGAGGAGCGUCCUAGGGCAAAAACUGGUGACUGGGGCUAAGUCGUAACAAGGUAAC
This 188-nucleotide ribosomal RNA is filed under the name uncultured bacterium. RNAcentral's name for it is "partial 16S ribosomal RNA". It matches the Rfam family "Bacterial small subunit ribosomal RNA", at positions 1306 to 1500 of the family's 1533-position model. The record is from RNAcentral.